Non-coding RNA from Chiloscyllium plagiosum (whitespotted bambooshark), 471 nucleotides. NCBI's taxonomy places the organism in Eukaryota, Metazoa, Chordata, Chondrichthyes, Orectolobiformes, Hemiscylliidae. The record is from the annotation of a RefSeq genome assembly.
UCAGGAUCUCUGACAAAGGAUUUUCCAGACUGCAGAAUUACAUACUCAGAGUGCACCAUGAGGAAUAUUCUCACACCACUCCUCAUCAUUGUUUCAAUUCUCAAAUGGAGUCAGCAAGAUACGGUGGAACAGCCAGACUCUGAAUUGGCAGUUAAAGAGGAAGGCAAUGUCACACUAACCUGCAGUUUGAAGACAAGCGAUCCCAACCCUUAUGUUCACUGGUACAGUCAGCUGCCAGGGCAGCCUCCAAGGUACAUGGUUUAUAUAGCUGGAGAAAACAUUGUCAAGAAGAAUCCAGAUGUUCCUGAACGAUUCGCUUUCAAAUUUACGAAAUCCACGAAGCAUGCGGAGUUAACAAUCAGCAUGGCCAUCAUCUCUGACUGUGCCAUGUAUUUCUGUGCAAUGACGCUCACACUGAUACAGAGUAAUGGCACAGCCCCUACAAAAACUCACGCUGAGAGUGCCAGUUAA